RNAcentral lists this transfer RNA (73 nucleotides) under Stegodyphus mimosarum. It matches the Rfam family "tRNA". From Rfam's summary of the family: Transfer RNA (tRNA) molecules are approximately 80 nucleotides in length. Their secondary structure includes four short double-helical elements and three loops (D, anti-codon, and T loops). Lineage: Eukaryota; Metazoa; Arthropoda; Arachnida; Araneae; Eresidae. The record is from Rfam by way of RNAcentral.
GCCUUCGUGGUGUAGUGGUUAGCACACUGGACGCGCAUUCUAGAGAUCCGUGGUUCGAGUCCUGGCAAAGGCG